RNAcentral lists this ribosomal RNA (642 nucleotides) under Triticum aestivum (bread wheat). RNAcentral describes it as "partial small subunit ribosomal RNA". Lineage: Eukaryota; Viridiplantae; Streptophyta; Magnoliopsida; Poales; Poaceae. The record is from RNAcentral.
AUGUCAAAGAGAGCAUUCCUUAAAGGAUGCCCUGCCAGAGAUGUGUGCUCUAGACGCAUCAACUUUUGCUGCAAGAAACCAUGUAGAUGGAGAGUUUUGAUACAAUACAAAAGGAGGAGGAUAGAUGCCCAAUCAAGCAGCAAACCACAUGAUCCCCGUUCAAUCAAGCACAAGAAGCCUUUGAAAGCUCUUUUGAAGGCAAUGAAGAUAAAGAUUGCCAGAAACUUCAAGGAAGUACAGCCAGAAGAACUUGAUAUUUGUGUGCAAGGGAAUACAAACUUGAAGGGUCGCACAUUCUAUUUUCUGGAUUCUUUCUAUGAUGAGAACAUCUCAUAUCACAAGAACAUAAAAAAGAAGAUUAUCUCAAGCUUUACAUGCACUUGGUACGAAACUCAGCUCCCGCCAAUGGAAUCCAAUGCAUUCCCUGCGGUUUACCCUAAAGUCCCUCAGCAAGAUAACGAUUCUGAUUGUGGCAUUUUCACUUUGAAACUAAUGGGAUGGUACCCAAGGAACCCGGCCCCUAUAGUUUUUUCACCAAAAGACGUCCCGGAUGCAAGGACCAGAUAUGCUGUUGAUCUCAUGUAUAGCCCCUACAACACUUUGUAUGAAGAGAAGAAGAGCGUCAAGGAGUUCCGCCUAUAG